This 406-nucleotide ribosomal RNA is filed under the name uncultured bacterium. RNAcentral describes it as "partial 16S ribosomal RNA". It matches the Rfam family "Bacterial small subunit ribosomal RNA", at positions 30 to 526 of the family's 1533-position model. The record is from RNAcentral.
AUUGAACGCUGGCGGCAGGCCUAACACAUGCAAGUCGAGCGAGCAGCGGAGUGGUGAGUAAUGUAUUGGGAUCUGCCCGACCGAGCGGGCUAACGACUGGAAACCGUGGAUAAUACCGCAUACUAUCGGAUGAAGCCAGAUGGGAGUAGCUAGUCGGUGUGGUAAAGGCUCACCGAGGCGACGAUCUCUAGCAGGUCUGAGAGGAUGAUCAGCCACACUGGGACUGAGAAACGGCCCAGAAUCCUACGGGAGGCAGCAGUGGGGAAUAUUGCACAAUGGGCGAAAGCCUGAUGGAGCCAUGCCGCGUGUAUGAAGAAGGCCUUAGGGUUGUAAAGUACUUUCAGCGGGGAGGCGUUACCUGCAGAAGAAGCACCGGCUAACUCCGUGCCAGCCGCCGCGGUAAUUC